GACGAACGCUGGCGGCGUGCUUAACACAUGCAAGUCGAACGGAAAGGCCCUGCUUUUGUGGGGUGCUCGAGUGGCGAACGGGUGAGUAACACGUGAGUAACCUGCCCUUGACUUUGGGAUAACUUCAGGAAACUGGGGCUAAUACCGGAUAGGUGCUCCUGCUGCAUGGUGGGGGUUGGAAAGUUUCGGCGGUUGGGGAUGGACUCGCGGCUUAUCAGCUUGUUGGUGGGGUAGUGGCUUACCAAGGCUUUGACGGGUAGCCGGCCUGAGAGGGUGACCGGCCACAUUGGGACUGAGAUACGGCCCAGACUCCUACGGGAGGCAGCAGUGGGGAAUAUUGCACAAUGGGCGGAAGCCUGAUGCAGCGACGCCGCGUGCGGGAUGACGGCCUUCGGGUUGUAAACCGCUUUCGCCUGUGACGAAGCGUGAGUGACGGUAAUGGGUAAAGAAGCACCGGCUAACUACGUG
RNAcentral lists this ribosomal RNA (468 nucleotides) under uncultured bacterium. RNAcentral's name for it is "partial 16S ribosomal RNA". It matches the Rfam family "Bacterial small subunit ribosomal RNA", at positions 28 to 507 of the family's 1533-position model. The record is from RNAcentral.